This 194-nucleotide unclassified non-coding RNA is filed under the name plant metagenome. RNAcentral's name for it is "partial contains small subunit ribosomal RNA, internal transcribed spacer 1, and 5.8S ribosomal RNA". The record is from RNAcentral.
GUUUCCGUAGGUGAACCUGCGGAAGGAUCAUUAACAAAUUCCAAAACUCGUCUUCCGGAUGACUCUAGGCUGGUUUCCAGUCUGGACACUCCGGAUUACAAAAUUACAUUUACGUUACUGGACAACCACAGGUAACCAAACCAAGGAUAAACCAAUGGUAAAAACAACUUUUAACAAUGGAUCUCUUGGCUCUU